RNAcentral lists this transfer RNA (72 nucleotides) under Ovis aries (sheep). It matches the Rfam family "tRNA". From Rfam's summary of the family: Transfer RNA (tRNA) molecules are approximately 80 nucleotides in length. Their secondary structure includes four short double-helical elements and three loops (D, anti-codon, and T loops). Lineage: Eukaryota; Metazoa; Chordata; Mammalia; Artiodactyla; Bovidae. The record is from Rfam by way of RNAcentral.
UCCCUCGUAGCUCAGACGGUAAAGCGUCUGCCUACAAUGCAGGAGACCCAGGUUCGAUCCCUGGGUUGGGAA